UACGUAGGGGGCAAGCGUUAUCCGGAUUUACUGGGUGUAAAGGGAGCGUAGGUGGCAUGGUAAGCCAGAAGUGAAAACCCGGGGCUCAACCCCGCGGAUUGCUUUUGGAACUAUCAGGCUGGAGUGCUGGAGGGGUAAGCGGAAUUCCUAGUGUAGCGGUGAAAUGCGUAGAUAUUAGGAGGAACACCGGUGGCGAAGGCGGCUUACUGGACAGAAACUGACACUGAGGCUCGAAAGCGUGGGGAGCAAACAGG
Molecule: ribosomal RNA, 254 nt
Filed under: uncultured bacterium
Lineage: Bacteria
Description: partial 16S ribosomal RNA
Rfam family: Bacterial small subunit ribosomal RNA
Source: RNAcentral